This 793-nucleotide ribosomal RNA is filed under the name uncultured archaeon. RNAcentral's name for it is "bacterial SSU rRNA". It matches the Rfam family "Archaeal small subunit ribosomal RNA", at positions 85 to 879 of the family's 1478-position model. The record is from RNAcentral.
ACUGCUCAGUAACACGUGGACAACCUGCCCUUAGGUUGGGUAUAAACCCGGGAAACUGGGUAUAAUACCCGAUAGGUCUCGAUUGCUGGAAUGCAUCGAGAUUUAAAGCUCCGGCGCCUAAGGAUGGGUCUGCGGCCUAUCAGGUAGUAGUGGGUGUAGCGUACCUACUAGCCUACGACGGGUACGGGUUGUGAGAGCAAGAGCCCGGAGAUGGAUUCUGAGACACGAAUCCAGGCCCUACGGGGUGCAGCAGGCGCGAAAACUUUACAAUGCUGGCAACAGCGAUAAGGGAACCUCGAGUGCCAGGUUACAAAUCUGGCUGUCGAGAUGCCUAAAAAGCAUUUCAUAGCAAGGGCCGGGCAAGACCGGUGCCAGCCGCCGCGGUAACACCGGCGGCUCGAGUGGUAACCGUUAUUAUUGGGCCUAAAGGGUCUGUAGCCGGCCGGAUAAGUCUCUUGAGAAAUCUGGCAGCUUAACUGUCAGGCUUUCAGGAGAUACUGUCUGGCUCGAGGCCGGGAGAGGUGAGAGGUACUUCAGGGGUAGGGGUGAAAUCUUGUAAUCCUUGAAGGACCACCAGUGGCGAAGGCGUCUCACCAGAACGGACCUGACGGCAAGGGACGAAAGCUAGGGGCACGAACCGGAUUAGAUACCCGGGUAGUCCUAGCCGUAAACGAUACUCGCUAGGUGUCGGCCACGGUGCGACCGUUGUCGGUGCCGUAGGGAAGCCGUGAAGCGAGCCACCUGGGAAGUACGGCCGCAAGGCUGAAACUUAAAGGAAUUGGCGGGGGAGCAC